UCAGGACAGACAGGAGAGAGGUUUUUUUCUUUUUACACAGUAAAUCAGUGCUCAAGAGAUCAUCCCCCAGGGGCCUUUCUACAUUCUUAAUAUCCUAAGUGCAACAAGGGUCUUCUCUUCUCCAGAAUGGGGCACCACGACACACCCACCUAGGCAGCAUCUUACCAGGUCUGUCUUUAGCAAAAAAGAAACUCAUUUCUGCCCACCCCACUGAGAGAGGAGAGGCUGUGGAACAUCUUGUCACUCCUUUUCACCAUAAGCAUUUGAGCAAGGGGGCAGAGAGCUGUUAUGAGUGGUUGUUAGGCUGGAGUGUACAGGGUCCUAAGAAGCAGCAGAGUUAUUUAUCAAGGUGGAGAUGACAAGCACUGUGUGCUGCUGAGAAGACUGACUGGGAUUUCCUUUCCAUCCUGCAGCUUGCAACUCAGUGAUUAUUUUUGACAGGCUGACUGAACCUCAAGUGACAGGUCUGGGCAGAUGUUUCCCUUCACCCCUGUCCCACCUCAGGAUCACGUGACAAGAGAAUCUGAAAAUGUGGUGACAGUGGUGACAGUCCUUGGGAGCAUGCAAGCCCCAAGUCCAGAUGCUGCUGGGGUGUAAAUGCAAGGGUCAAAUGGGCUCUGGUAAUAAAACAGUUUUGAACUGUCAGCACUGAGCAAUCCCCUGGGAAAGACUCGACCUAGGAAUUCUCUCUUCUCCCUCACUAAGGUAAUCAAUGGUCCCUACGACCAAAACAAUUAGGACCUUGCAGAAUUGGGACUGGUGGGGACUUGGCAAAUUUCCUUUUUUUAAGUAUCAGUUAUGCAAAGGCAAGAGCAGAAUUUUUAGGUCUCGCCGAGCUCCAUUUCCUCCCAUUAACUCUGCAGCACUAAGAACAAAACCAUUCUCUUCUUCCCUCAAGAACAGCACUCUGACUCCAGUGCCCACAGGGAGCUGUUCUGAAAGGGCUGUUUGCUGCCUCUUGUUUUUCCAGAGUAUAAAACAUGUUUUAACAGGAAAGGGGAGAACAGGA
Molecule: long non-coding RNA, 1009 nt
Organism: Calypte anna (Anna's hummingbird)
Lineage: Eukaryota; Metazoa; Chordata; Aves; Apodiformes; Trochilidae
Exons: 3
Source: RefSeq, a predicted model, not a curated record